This 301-nucleotide ribosomal RNA is filed under the name uncultured bacterium. RNAcentral's name for it is "partial 16S ribosomal RNA". It matches the Rfam family "Bacterial small subunit ribosomal RNA", at positions 509 to 807 of the family's 1533-position model. The record is from RNAcentral.
CAGCAGCCGCGGUAAUACGAAGGGGGCUAGCGUUGUUCGGAAUUACUUGGCGUAAAGCGCACGUAGGCGGAUUUGUUAGUCAGGGGUGAAAUCCCGGGGCUCAACCUCGGAACUGCCUUUGAUACUGCAAGUCUCGAGUCCGGAAGAGGUGAGUGGAAUUCCUAGUGUAGAGGUGAAAUUCGUAGAUAUUAGGAAGAACACCAGUGGCGAAGGCGGCUCACUGGUCCGGUACUGACGCUGAGGUGCGAAAGCGUGGGGAGCAAACAGGAUUAGAUACCCCAGUAGUCCCUGUCUCUUAUAC